GACGUAGGGAGCGAGCGUUGUCCGGAUUCAUUGGGCGUAAAGAGCGCGCAGGCGGUUUGGUAAGUCGGAUGUGAAAACCCGGGGCUCAACCCCGGGCGUGCAUCUCGAUACUGCCCGACUAGAGGUAGGUAGGGGAGAUCGGAAUUCCUGGUGUAGCGGUGAAAUGCGCAGAUAUCAGGAGGAACACCGGUGGCGAAGGCGGAUCUCUGGGCCGGUACUGACGCUGAGACGCGAAAGCGUGGGGAGCGAACAGG
RNAcentral lists this ribosomal RNA (254 nucleotides) under uncultured bacterium. RNAcentral describes it as "partial 16S ribosomal RNA". It matches the Rfam family "Bacterial small subunit ribosomal RNA", at positions 524 to 776 of the family's 1533-position model. The record is from RNAcentral.